ACGCUAGCGGCAGGCUUAACACAUGCAAGUCGAGGGGUAACAGGAAGUGCUUGCACUUCGCUGACGACCGGCGAACGGGUGCGUAACGCGUAUGCAACCUACCUUCUACAGGGGGAUAGCCCAGAGAAAUUUGGAAUAAUACCCCAUACGGUCAUUUAAUGGCAUCGUUAAAUGAAGAAAACUCCGGUGGUAGAAGAUGGGCAUGCGUCCUAUUAGUUAGUUGGUAAGGUAAUGGCUUACCAAGACACCGAUAGGUAGGGGUCCUGAGAGGGAGAUCCCCCACACUGGUACUGAGACACGGACCAGACUCCUACGGGAGGCAGCAGUGAGGAAUAUUGGACAAUGGAGGCAACUCUGAUCCAGCCAUGCCGCGUGCAGGAAGACGGCCCUACGGGUUGUAAACUGCUUUUAUACAGGAAGAAUUAUACCUACGUGUAGGUAUUUGACGGUACUGUAAGAAUAAGGAUCGGC
RNAcentral lists this ribosomal RNA (471 nucleotides) under uncultured Flavobacteriaceae bacterium. Its description in RNAcentral is "bacterial SSU rRNA". It matches the Rfam family "Bacterial small subunit ribosomal RNA", at positions 33 to 497 of the family's 1533-position model. The record is from RNAcentral. Lineage: Bacteria; Pseudomonadati; Bacteroidota; Flavobacteriia; Flavobacteriales; Flavobacteriaceae.